RNAcentral lists this ribosomal RNA (446 nucleotides) under uncultured bacterium. Its description in RNAcentral is "partial 16S ribosomal RNA". It matches the Rfam family "Bacterial small subunit ribosomal RNA", at positions 338 to 795 of the family's 1533-position model. The record is from RNAcentral.
CCUACGGGUGGCAGCAGUCGAGAAUCUUUCACAAUGGGCGAAACUCUGAUGGUGCGACGCCGCGUGGGGGAAUGCAGGUCUUUGGAUUGUAAACUACUGUUAUGCGGGGGUAAAUCCCAAAGCUUGUAUCACAAGAGGAAGAGCCUGCUAAUUCUGUGCCAGUAGCUGCGGUAAUACAGCGGCUUCAAGCGUUGUUCGGCAUCAGUGGGCGUAAAGCGUGCGUAGGCUGUUGCGUAAGUCAGAGGUGAUAGGUUCGGGCUCAACCCGCGGACGGCACAUGAUACUGCGGGACUAGAGUUUUGGAGGGGGAGGCGGAAUGCACGGUGUAGCAGUGAAAUGCGUAGAGAUCGAGAGGAACACUGAUGGCGAAGGCAGGUUCCUGAACAUUGACUGACGCUGAGGCACGAAGGCCAGGGGAGCGAAAGGGAUUAGAUACCCCGGUAGUC